This 267-nucleotide ribosomal RNA is filed under the name uncultured bacterium. RNAcentral's name for it is "partial 16S ribosomal RNA". It matches the Rfam family "Bacterial small subunit ribosomal RNA", at positions 524 to 776 of the family's 1533-position model. The record is from RNAcentral.
UACGUAGGUGGCGAGCGUUGUCCGGAUUUACUGGGCGUAAAGAGUAUGUAGGCGGACAUUUAAGUAGAAAGUGAAAGGUUGGAGCUCAACUCUAACACUGCUUCCUAUACUGGAUGUCUUGAAGGCCGGAGAGGAAAGCGGAACGACACGUGUAGCGGUGAAAUGAGUUGAUAUGUGUCGGAAAACCAAUGGCGAAGGCAGCUUUCUGUAGGGUAGGUUUACCUUUAAAUUUGACGCUGAGAUACGAAAGCGUGGGUAGCGAACAGG